RNAcentral lists this ribosomal RNA (265 nucleotides) under uncultured prokaryote. RNAcentral describes it as "partial 16S ribosomal RNA". It matches the Rfam family "Bacterial small subunit ribosomal RNA", at positions 524 to 788 of the family's 1533-position model. The record is from RNAcentral.
UACGUAGGUGGCGAGCGUUGUCCGGAUUUACUGGGCGUAAAGGGAGCGUAGGCGGACUUUUAAGUGAGAUGUGAAAUACCCGGGCUCAACUUGGGUGCUGCAUUUCAAACUGGAAGUCUAGAGUGCAGGAGAGGAGAAUGGAAUUCCUAGUGUAGCGGUGAAAUGCGUAGAGAUUAGGAAGAACACCAGUGGCGAAGGCGAUUCUCUGGACUGUAACUGACGCUGAGGCUCGAAAGCGUGGGGAGCAAACAGGAUUAGAUACCCA